This 4129-nucleotide small RNA is filed under the name Vigna angularis var. angularis. RNAcentral describes it as "Non-protein coding transcript". Lineage: Eukaryota; Viridiplantae; Streptophyta; Magnoliopsida; Fabales; Fabaceae. The record is from RNAcentral.
CACUUUCUUGUGCCUUCGAAGCUGCUUCCUUUCCCCAAAUUGCGAUUCAUUCCUAUGCAUUUAUAAUUCUCCCAAUCCCCCAAUAUGACCAGUGAUUUCCGAAUCUCCUAAAUCUCCAAUGAUUCCAUGUCCCUAACUUCGUUGUCGACUAUCCCUCCAAAACAUUGCUGUCAGUUACGUCUCUUUAUCUUUGUCUUUCUCGUUCGCCUCUCUCCCGCUUGCGAAAUGUCUUUUCCUUUGUUGGAUCCUCUCUGUAGGUAUUCUUUUUGUCUCUUGAAAUUAAUGGGUUAAAGAUGGGGAGAUUUGGUGUUUCCCACAUUUGGCUUUGACGUUAUAGUUGGUGGUGCAGAAGCAGAGCAAAUCUUAAGAAGAGUAACUCUAGGGUCUUUGCGUCAAGUCAGGGGUGUUGGUUUUUGAGGGUGAGUGUUAUGAAUCAGGCCCCCGUGCUACUAUUGCUGUCAGCCAUUGUUGACAAAAAAGGAUCCAUUAGUGUUAUCGGUCUUAGAAUGAAUUAGAUACUUAUCUGCUUAUGGUUUAGUCUCAUCCUAAUAGACGCUUAGACUACUUGGAAUUCUUCUUGAUCAUCAAUGGGGAAUGGUUUUCUUCUUCAUUCUAGCUUUAUUACUUGAUAUGAAUUGAUUUUAUUCAAACUGCGCUUCAAAUAUUUUGGGUAAUUUCUGGUAUAGGAGUUUGUAGUUGCUUUAUUCAAACUGUAGUUAUUUGUGAUAUUUGAGUGUAAACUCAAAUUAGUUCAUUUGUUCUUAUAUCGUUGAUCCAGUUUCAUAUAGGUGCUUGGCAAGCUAACAUUAUUUGUUGAUAAGCAAACUUUUAAUUGUUGCUUCCUUUCUCCCUAUUUUUGGUUUGUAUGGUGGAGGCUGCAAAAUCCUUUCAAACUGUCUUGGUAUCUUUUAAGAUUUCAACAAAUCAUAAUGUCAUAUUAGAAGAAUUUUGUUGUGGAAUAGCUCACAAAUUCACUAAGAAUAGUCUACCACACAAAUAACUAAGAAAAGUAGAGCACACCGCAAGUGCUAUAGAAGGUGCACUAGAGAAAACAAGAAGAACAAGCACAAACAAGAUUGAUGUGGUACAACUGAAGUGUCAAUGGAUUUUAAUCUAUGUCCGCGAAAAAAAAAAUACUAUCACAAAGAUUACAACUUAGAAGUUUAUUUCUCAUAAUAAACUCUCGCUUAAGACAACUAAAACAUUAUACAACUCCAAAGUUAACCUAAUACAAAGGUUAUAAGGUCCUAUUUAUAGUGCAAUUUCAUUAUAAUUGACCAAGCAUGAAACACACCUAUAAUCAGAUAUGAAGACACGUGAAUAAUACUUCUAAUACAGAACUAGGUGAUCGCUAGACGAAUACCCCAUAGGUGGAAACAUACAAACUGUACAUGCUUCAAUAAACCAUAAAAGACUAGUCGUCUCAUCUUCAUGUACUAUAUGUAUGAUCUAUUGCUUGUAAUUACUGAGUCGUCUAACCGUGUCAGUUGUCUAAUCCUUUUAGACAAGAUCAUACUGAGCUAGUAGUUACAAAUUGUGUGUCAAAACUAGAGAAGCAAUAAGAUUGCAGAGUUUAUUCGUUAUUGGAUUUGCUAGAGUGGAUUGUUGAUUGCAUUCUCGAGUGUCUAGAUCUACAGUUGCUCAAGUGUGUACCAGUUUGAGGGAUAAAACCAAAAGUGAUGAUUCAAACCUUUAGUAAGUAUAUAGUGUGUAUCACAUGAUACGAUACAAUUCACAAACCCCACGAUUUGAAAGACAGUAUCUCUAAGAUGAUCAUCCUGCAUCAAGUCAAGUUCUCCACCAUCUCUAACACCUCUGAGUGACUCCAUCUGACUGGGUAUAUAUAAAGGUGGAUUGACUCUCUCUUUUGCAGCCAUGUAUUUUUCUUUCUAAAUGCUGCUCUAAUUUGCUUCACUAUUAGCUCAACUUCAUGCAACUUUUCCCCAUGCCAGUUUUCUGUCUUUCCAGACACCUUUGUACUAAUGUCAUUAACUUGAGCAUCUAAAGUGGUACCUGGAUUAAGAUGGUUUCUUUAUUCUAGGUUCAACACCAACAACUUUGAGGUCAUCCUUUGUUGUGCCAAAUUCCUUAUUCUUCUUAUCAGAAUCUUGAUUAGGAUUGAGAUGGUUAUGAUGGAACGAAAUCCCUUUGUGCCUUCUUUCGAUAUUGCUAAUCCCAAUCCAACCCCAUGCAUAUUCCAUUCCCUCUGUCACGUGCAGAUUCCACAACACUGUUUGUUUGAGAUACAAAAAGUUAAAGAAUGAAUGAAACAUAAUAACACAUGCAGUUAAAAGGUCAAAUAGUAUUUGCAUCCUGAUAGGACUAUGAGGGUUUAUGUUAGGAGGAAGGUGGUUAAAACUAAAACAUAGGUUGUUAGUGGUUAGGUGGUUUGGGUUGUUCUAAGUCUCCUUAGGGGGAAGACUAUAUAUAGGAGGGGUGGUGUCUUUUAGAAGGUACGGUUUUUGUAUUUGAAGAGGCUGGACAGGAUUAGUGACAUCCUGUGUGAAGGGAAACAUUCUCCCUUGGUGGUUUUUGUGUACUUUGCUUGUGUUGGAAUAAUAAGAUUGUUUUCCAGUGAGAUUAUCAACACUGGUGUUUGUGGGUGGAAACUCUGAACGUUUUUGGCUUCUUGUUCCCAAGAAACCUAACAUUUGGUCUGACUUGCCGGAUCAAGGAGAGGAUGAUUGCAGCUAACAACAUCUUUCUCCUGGACCGGCUAGACUCUGCUACUUAUGUGAUCAUGUUCUACUUGUAUGCUUUGGCUGGGAAGUGGGAUGAGGCAGUCUAAUUUAGGAAGAUGAUGACUGAAAGGAACUUGAGGAAGGAAGUCAGUUACAGCUGGAUUAUUGUAAAGGGUAAAGGGUAAAGUCCACCGUUUUGUGGUAGGGGACAGACACUAUCCUCAACCAGAACAAAUAUACUCAAAAUUGACAGAACUCAUUUUUUUCUCUAAAAACGGAUGGAGAGUGCCUUCUCAACGAAGAGGAUGCUCUAUCUGACUUUACUGCACGCAAAGAGCAGCUUCUUGGUCAUAGUGAGAGACUGGCUAUAGCCUAUGGUCUCAUUUGCACCGCAGCUGAGACCCCUAUUAUGGUAUUCAGAAAUACACGAUCAUGCAAAGACAGCCAUGAUUUUGCAAAACGAGUCUCAAUAGUAACUGGUCGUGAAUUAGUUGUGAGAGAUGCCACCAGGUUUCAUCAUAUUAAUUCAGGGAAUUGUUCUUGCCGUGAUUAUUGGUGAUUUCAGCUUAGUUUGUUUAAAGGUCUUAGCGGCAUAGUUUUUCUUAAUGCUCCUUCAGUUACAGCAUGGAAUCAUCUAUAAUUCUAUAUUGGACGAUUGGAUAUUCAGAGCUUGUGUGGGGUUACUGUAGAUAAGGCAUUAUAAAGCAAUGCAUUGUACAAAUCUCCUUUUCCUUCAUUAUCCAUCGUCUGUUUUUCCAAUUUUGUGCACGGUAAAUUCACCUGCCCUCUAUCUUCAGGUGCUAUGGCAGAUGCUAUUAUACCUCUGCCUUGCCACUUCCCCCUCUUUCAGCGGACUUGUGUCUCUCCAAUUAUGCCAUUUGGUGUACUAACUCCCCAAAUCCCAACGUCACGCCAUCUUAGUCAUGAUUCUUCCAGUGUCACUCACGCCACCUCUUAUCUCUGUUGUGAUCUGAAUCUCCACCAGCUAAACAUGUAACCCAAGCUCUUUUAUUCUGCCAUUGCGUCUCCAUUGUUGCCGCUGUUCUCCAUGGAGGAAUGACCCUCUUCCUUAUCUAUGUCAAAUAUGGUAGGUAAUGGGGCUCUUGUCUGAUUGCAUAUGUAAGGCUGUCUUUCUCUCCAUAUGGCUUGGAGUUUCAGUUUCACCUUAUUGCUGAUGUAAAAAACUGCCGAAUUUGAAUUUUUGGGAACUACACAUAUUAAAGUAGAAUUUGAGAAAUUUAGGAAAAUUAUGCAUGUAGUUAGUAGCAAGUUUUUGUAACUGCUAGUUUUAUACUUAUUGUGUAGGCAGUAGUUUUGAUGGAAAAAAAAAAUGCGUGGACGAUAGUCAUUACUCGUUCUUGGUGUAUUAUGCUGUUAGGCCCCCUAUUUCAUAGAUGAUGUGGGCUUUUCCCCCAAUUAGAGAGAGUACAUUGGGAUUCAUCUCCAUA